This 524-nucleotide ribosomal RNA is filed under the name uncultured bacterium. Its description in RNAcentral is "bacterial SSU rRNA". It matches the Rfam family "Bacterial small subunit ribosomal RNA", at positions 355 to 896 of the family's 1533-position model. The record is from RNAcentral.
UGGGGAAUAUUGGACAAUGGACCAAGAGUCUGAUCCAGCAAUUCUGUGUGCACGAUGAAGUUUUUCGGAAUGUAAAGUGCUUUCAGUUGGGAAGAAAAAAAUGACGGUACCAACAGAAGAAGUGACGGCUAAAUACGUGCCAGCAGCCGCGGUAAUACGUAUGUCACGAGCGUUAUCCGGAUUUAUUGGGCGUAAAGCGCGUCUAGGUGGUUAUGUAAGUCUGAUGUGAAAAUGCAGGGCUCAACUCUGUAUUGCGUUGGAAACUGUAUAACUAGAGUACUGGAGAGGUAAGCGGAACUACAAGUGUAGAGGUGAAAUUCGUAGAUAUUUGUAGGAAUGCCGAUGGGGAAGCCAGCUUACUGGACAGAUACUGACGCUGAAGUGCGAAAGCGUGGGUAGCAAACAGGAUUAGAUACCCUGGUAGUCCAUGCCGUAAACGAUGAUUACUAGGUGUUGGGGGUCGAACCUCAGCGCCCAAGCAAACGCGAUAAGUAAUCCGCCUGGGGAGUACGUACGCAAGUAUG